This 21-nucleotide non-coding RNA is filed under the name Caenorhabditis elegans. The record is from RNAcentral. Lineage: Eukaryota; Metazoa; Nematoda; Chromadorea; Rhabditida; Rhabditidae.
UCUUUCGCAACUGUUUUCUAU